RNAcentral lists this ribosomal RNA (731 nucleotides) under uncultured Bacilli bacterium. RNAcentral's name for it is "bacterial SSU rRNA". It matches the Rfam family "Bacterial small subunit ribosomal RNA", at positions 64 to 765 of the family's 1533-position model. The record is from RNAcentral. Lineage: Bacteria; Bacillati; Bacillota; Bacilli.
GAACGCUUCUUUUUCCACCGGCAGCUUGCUCCACCGGAAAAAGAGGAGUGGCGAACGGGUGAGUAACACGUGGGUAACCUGCCCAUCAGAAGGGGAUAACACUUGGAAACAGGUGCUAAUACCGUAUAACAAUCGAAACCGCAUGGUUUUGAUUUGAAAGGCGCUUUCGGGUGUCGCUGAUGGAUGGACCCGCGGUGCAUUAGCUAGUUGGUGAGGUAACGGCUCACCAAGGCCACGAUGCAUAGCCGACCUGAGAGGGUGAUCGGCCACAUUGGGACUGAGACACGGCCCAAACUCCUACGGGAGGCAGCAGUAGGGAAUCUUCGGCAAUGGACGAAAGUCUGACCGAGCAACGCCGCGUGAGUGAAGAAGGUUUUCGGAUCGUAAAACUCUGUUGUUAGAGAAGAACAAGGAUGAGAGUAACUGUUCAUCCCUUGACGGUAUCUAACCAGAAAGCCACGGCUAACUACGUGCCAGCAGCCGCGGUAAUACGUAGGUGGCAAGCGUUGUCCGGAUUUAUUGGGCGUAAAGCGAGCGCAGGCGGUUUCUUAAGUCUGAUGUGAAAGCCCCCGGCUCAACCGGGGAGGGUCAUUGGAAACUGGGAGACUUGAGUGCAGAAGAGGAGAGUGGAAUUCCAUGUGUAGCGGUGAAAUGCGUAGAUAUAUGGAGGAACACCAGUGGCGAAGGCGGCUCUCUGGUCUGUAACUGACGCUGAGGCUCGAAAGCGUGGG